This 337-nucleotide small nuclear RNA is filed under the name Chinchilla lanigera (long-tailed chinchilla). RNAcentral describes it as "7SK RNA (ENSCLAG00000021793.1)". The stretch from base 1 to 277 matches the Rfam family "7SK RNA". From Rfam's summary of the family: 7SK was discovered as an abundant small nuclear RNA in the mid-70s but a possible function has only recently been suggested. Two independent studies have found that 7SK RNA binds the CDK9/cyclin T complex (known as elongation factor P-TEFb). Lineage: Eukaryota; Metazoa; Chordata; Mammalia; Rodentia; Chinchillidae. The record is from Rfam by way of RNAcentral.
AGGCGAGGGCAAUCUGGCUGCGACAUCUGUCACCCCACUGAGCACCAGGGCUGAUUCCAGUGAUCUGGCUGACUCGGUGGGUGUCGCCUUCUCCCUCAAUGCUCCACAUGCGUCCCUCCCGAAGCUCCCCUGAGUGGAAGAGAAUGAGCGCAACAGAGGAGACCGUCCCUCUGUCAAGGGCACAGAAGCAGCUGUGCUCUCCUGCUAGAACUGCCAGACAUGUAUACUUUUGUCUGUCCCCUUUAAAAAUUUAUCUUCAGGCUUUCUGUGUUACUUUCUGUGUUACUAAGUGUGUCUCUCAUAAAACACAGAUUGUUUGAACUAUAUCUGAGUAUUU